AGGGGAGUAAAAGUUUUGGGGGGAAGUGGGAAGGAGUAAAAGUUUUGGGGGGAAAGUAAAAAGGUUUGGGAGUUUGGGGUAAAAAUGUAAAAUAUUAUAGUUUGAUAUUCGAAUUAUUCGAAUUAUUCGAGUCGAAUCGAGUUUUUUCAAUUUUUUCGAGUCGAAUCGAGUUUUGCUCACCCCUAGCCGUGUGACCUAAGUCAGAGAGUUACAUGGGGAAGGACAUGGGUUGAGACACGAUUGUGUGC
RNAcentral lists this long non-coding RNA (248 nucleotides) under Gossypium raimondii (Peruvian cotton). Its description in RNAcentral is "long non-coding RNA (GRAI_LNC003179)". Lineage: Eukaryota; Viridiplantae; Streptophyta; Magnoliopsida; Malvales; Malvaceae. The record is from RNAcentral.